Molecule: ribosomal RNA, 253 nt
Filed under: uncultured bacterium
Lineage: Bacteria
Description: partial 16S ribosomal RNA
Rfam family: Bacterial small subunit ribosomal RNA
Source: RNAcentral
UACAGAGGUCCCAAGCGUUGUUCGGAUUCACUGGGCGUAAAGCGCGCGUAGGCGGCUUUUCAAGUCGAUUGUGAAAUCCCCGGGCUUAACCUGGGAACUGCAGUCGAGACUGUCUAGCUAGAGUAUGGGAGAGGGAAGUGGAAUUUCAGGUGUAGCGGUGAAAUGCGUAGAUAUCUGAAGGAACAUCAGUGGCGAAAGCGACUUCCUGGACCAAUACUGACGCCCAUGUGCGAAAGCGUGGGGAGCAAACAGG